AGCGAACGCUGGCGGCAGGCUUAACACAUGCAAGUCGAGCGGGCCUUUCGGGGUCAGCGGCGGACGGGUGAGUAACGCGUGGGAACGUGCCCUCUGGUUCGGAAUAACUCAGGGAAACUUGAGCUAAUACCGGAUACGCCCUUUUGGGGAAAGGCUUGCUGCCGGAGGAUCGGCCCGCGUCUGAUUAGCUAGUUGGUGAGGUAACGGCUCACCAAGGCGACGAUCAGUAGCUGGUCUGAGAGGAUGAUCAGCCACACUGGGACUGAGACACGGCCCAGACUCCUACGGGAGGCAGCAGUGGGGAAUAUUGGACAAUGGGCGCAAGCCUGAUCCAGCCAUGCCGCGUGAGUGAUGAAGGCCUUAGGGUUGUAAAGCUCUUUUAUCCGGGACGAUAAUGACGGUACCGGAGGAAUAAGCCCCGGCUAACUUCGUGCCAGCAGCCG
Molecule: ribosomal RNA, 443 nt
Filed under: Methylobacterium mesophilicum
Lineage: Bacteria; Pseudomonadati; Pseudomonadota; Alphaproteobacteria; Hyphomicrobiales; Methylobacteriaceae
Description: bacterial SSU rRNA
Rfam family: Bacterial small subunit ribosomal RNA
Source: RNAcentral